RNAcentral lists this ribosomal RNA (1538 nucleotides) under Staphylococcus aureus. RNAcentral's name for it is "16S ribosomal RNA". It matches the Rfam family "Bacterial small subunit ribosomal RNA". The record is from RNAcentral. Lineage: Bacteria; Bacillati; Bacillota; Bacilli; Caryophanales; Staphylococcaceae.
GAGUUUGAUCCUGGCUCAGGAUGAACGCUGGCGGCGUGCCUAAUACAUGCAAGUCGAGCGAACGGACGAGAAGCUUGCUUCUCUGAUGUUAGCGGCGGACGGGUGAGUAACACGUGGAUAACCUACCUAUAAGACUGGGAUAACUUCGGGAAACCGUAGCUAAUACCGGAUAAUAUUUUGAACCGCAUGGUUCAAAAGUGAAAGACGGUCUUGCUGUCACUUAUAGAUGGAUCCGCGCUGCAUUAGCUAGUUGGUAAGGUAACGGCUUACCAAGGCAACGAUGCAUAGCCGACCUGAGAGGGUGAUCGGCCACACUGGAACUGAGACACGGUCCAGACUCCUACGGGAGGCAGCAGUAGGGAAUCUUCCGCAAUGGGCGAAAGCCUGACGGAGCAACGCCGCGUGAGUGAUGAAGGUCUUCGGAUCGUAAAACUCUGUUAUUAGGGAAGAACAUAUGUGUAAGUAACUGUGCACAUCUUGACGGUACCUAAUCAGAAAGCCACGGCUAACUACGUGCCAGCAGCCGCGGUAAUACGUAGGUGGCAAGCGUUAUCCGGAAUUAUUGGGCGUAAAGCGCGCGUAGGCGGUUUUUUAAGUCUGAUGUGAAAGCCCACGGCUCAACCGUGGAGGGUCAUUGGAAACUGGAAAACUUGAGUGCAGAAGAGGAAAGUGGAAUUCCAUGUGUAGCGGUGAAAUGCGCAGAGAUAUGGAGGAACACCAGUGGCGAAGGCGACUUUCUGGUCUGUAACUGACGCUGAUGUGCGAAAGCGUGGGGAUCAAACAGGAUUAGAUACCCUGGUAGUCCACGCCGUAAACGAUGAGUGCUAAGUGUUAGGGGGUUUCCGCCCCUUAGUGCUGCAGCUAACGCAUUAAGCACUCCGCCUGGGGAGUACGACCGCAAGGUUGAAACUCAAAGGAAUUGACGGGGACCCGCACAAGCGGUGGAGCAUGUGGUUUAAUUCGAAGCAACGCGAAGAACCUUACCAAAUCUUGACAUCCUUUGACAACUCUAGAGAUAGAGCCUUCCCCUUCGGGGGACAAAGUGACAGGUGGUGCAUGGUUGUCGUCAGCUCGUGUCGUGAGAUGUUGGGUUAAGUCCCGCAACGAGCGCAACCCUUAAGCUUAGUUGCCAUCAUUAAGUUGGGCACUCUAAGUUGACUGCCGGUGACAAACCGGAGGAAGGUGGGGAUGACGUCAAAUCAUCAUGCCCCUUAUGAUUUGGGCUACACACGUGCUACAAUGGACAAUACAAAGGGCAGCGAAACCGCGAGGUCAAGCAAAUCCCAUAAAGUUGUUCUCAGUUCGGAUUGUAGUCUGCAACUCGACUACAUGAAGCUGGAAUCGCUAGUAAUCGUAGAUCAGCAUGCUACGGUGAAUACGUUCCCGGGUCUUGUACACACCGCCCGUCACACCACGAGAGUUUGUAACACCCGAAGCCGGUGGAGUAACCUUUUAGGAGCUAGCCGUCGAAGGUGGGACAAAUGAUUGGGGUGAAGUCGUAACAAGGUAGCCGUAUCGGAAGGUGCGGCUGGAUCACC